RNAcentral lists this ribosomal RNA (610 nucleotides) under Marinobacter sp. RNAcentral's name for it is "bacterial SSU rRNA". It matches the Rfam family "Bacterial small subunit ribosomal RNA", at positions 45 to 646 of the family's 1533-position model. The record is from RNAcentral. Lineage: Bacteria; Pseudomonadati; Pseudomonadota; Gammaproteobacteria; Pseudomonadales; Marinobacteraceae.
GGCAGCUUACCAUGCAGUCGAGCGGUAACAGGGGGUGCUUGCACCCCGCUGACGAGCGGCGGACGGGUGAGUAAUGCAUAGGAAUCUGCCCAGUAGUGGGGGAUAGCCCGGGGAAACCCGGAUUAAUACCGCAUACGUCCUUCGGGGGAAAGCAGGGGAUCUUCGGACCUUGCGCUAUUGGAUGAGCCUAUGUCGGAUUAGCUAGUUGGUGGGGUAAAGGCCUACCAAGGCGACGAUCCGUAGCUGGUCUGAGAGGAUGAUCAGCCACAUCGGGACUGAGACACGGCCCGAACUCCUACGGGAGGCAGCAGUGGGGAAUAUUGGACAAUGGGGGCAACCCUGAUCCAGCCAUGCCGCGUGUGUGAAGAAGGCUUUCGGGUUGUAAAGCACUUUCAGUGAGGAGGAAAACCUUCUGGUUAAUACCCAUGAGGCUUGACGUUACUCACAGAAGAAGCACCGGCUAACUCCGUGCCAGCAGCCGCGGUAAUACGGAGGGUGCAAGCGUUAAUCGGAAUUACUGGGCGUAAAGCGCGCGUAGGUGGUUUGAUAAGCGAGAUGUGAAAGCCCCGGGCUUAACCUGGGAACGGCAUUUCGAACUGUCAGGCUAGAG